AGUUUGAUCCUGGCUCAGAACGAACGCUGGCGGCAGGCUUAACACAUGCAAGUCGAGCGGUAGCACGGGGGAGCUUGCUCCCUGGGUGACGAGCGGCGGACGGGUGAGUAAUGUCUGGGAAACUGCCUGAUGGAGGGGGAUAACUACUGGAAACGGUAGCUAAUACCGCAUAACGUCGCAAGACCAAAGAGGGGGACCUUCGGGCCUCUUGCCAUCAGAUGUGCCCAGAUGGGAUUAGCUAGUAGGUGGGGUAAUGGCUCACCUAGGCGACGAUCCCUAGCUGGUCUGAGAGGAUGACCAGCCACACUGGAACUGAGACACGGUCCAGACUCCUACGGGAGGCAGCAGUGGGGAAUAUUGCACAAUGGGCGCAAGCCUGAUGCAGCCAUGCCGCGUGUGUGAAGAAGGCCUUCGGGUUGUAAAGCACUUUCAGCGAGGAGGAAGGUGGUGAGCUUAAUACGCUCAUCAAUUGACGUUACUCGCAGAAGAAGCACCGGCUAACUCCGUGCCAGCAGCCGCGGUAAUACGGAGGGUGCAAGCGUUAAUCGGAAUUACUGGGCGUAAAGCGCACGCAGGCGGUUUGUUAAGUCAGAUGUGAAAUCCCCGGGCUCAACCUGGGAACUGCAUUUGAAACUGGCAAGCUAGAGUCUCGUAGAGGGGGGUAGAAUUCCAGGUGUAGCGGUGAAAUGCGUAGAGAUCUGGAGGAAUACCGGUGGCGAA
This 720-nucleotide ribosomal RNA is filed under the name uncultured Serratia sp. RNAcentral describes it as "bacterial SSU rRNA". It matches the Rfam family "Bacterial small subunit ribosomal RNA", at positions 10 to 719 of the family's 1533-position model. Lineage: Bacteria; Pseudomonadati; Pseudomonadota; Gammaproteobacteria; Enterobacterales; Yersiniaceae. The record is from RNAcentral.